Bradysia coprophila is the source of this 209-nucleotide long non-coding RNA. The record is from RefSeq and is a predicted model, not a curated record. Lineage: Eukaryota; Metazoa; Arthropoda; Insecta; Diptera; Sciaridae.
GGCUAUCGCCAACAGCAGUUGGGCUGUUGUAUCCGCACCAAAAGUCGGCAGCAAUUAAGCUGUCGCUAAUAGCAGUUGGGCUAUUACAUCUGAACCGAAAAUCGAUAAUGGAGGACUAUCGUCGAUGGCAGUGGGUCAUCGCCAACCGAACCAAAAUCGAUAGUGGAGGGCUAUCGUCGAUGACAGUGGGUCAUCGGAGACCGAACUGA